RNAcentral lists this ribosomal RNA (796 nucleotides) under uncultured bacterium. RNAcentral describes it as "bacterial SSU rRNA". It matches the Rfam family "Bacterial small subunit ribosomal RNA", at positions 62 to 869 of the family's 1533-position model. The record is from RNAcentral.
UCGAACGGCAGCACRGCAGUAGCAAUACUGUGGGUGGCGAGUGGCGGACGGGUGAGGAAUACAUCGGAAUCUACCUUUUCGUGGGGGAUAACGUAGGGAAACUUACGCUAAUACCGCAUACGACCUUAGGGUGAAAGYRGRGGAYCGCAAGRCCUUACGCGGAUAGAUGAGCCGAUGUCGGAUUAGCUAGUUGGCGGGGUAAAGGCCCACCAAGGCUACGAUCCGUAGCUGGUCUGAGAGGAUGAUCAGCCACACUGGAACUGAGACACGGUCCAGACUCCUACGGGAGGCAGCAGUGGGGAAUAUUGGACAAUGGGCGCAAGCCUGAUCCAGCCAUACCGCGUGGGUGAAGAAGGCCUUCGGGUUGUAAAGCCCUUUUGUUGGGAAAGAAAUCCUGCCGGCUAAUACCCGGUAGGGAUGACGGUACCCAAAGAAUAAGCACCGGCUAACUUCGUGCCAGCAGCCGCGGUAAUACGAAGGGUGCAAGCGUUACUCGGAAUUACUGGGCGUAAAGCGUGCGUAGGUGGUUCGUUAAGUCUGAUGUGAAAGCCCUGGGCUCAACCUGGGAAUUGCACUGGAUACUGGCGGGCUAGAGUGCGGUAGAGGAUGGCGGAAUUCCCGGUGUAGCAGUGAAAUGCGUAGAGAUCGGGAGGAACAUCUGUGGCGAAGGCGGCCAUCUGGACCAGCACUGACACUGAGGCACGAAGCGUGGGAGCAACAGGAUAGAUCCCUGGUAGUCMCGCCUAACAUGCGACUGAUGUGGAGCACUUGCUCUAUUCGAACUACCCGUAGUCGC